GCCUCCGUAGCUCAGUGGAUAGAGCGCCGGUUUCCGGUACCGUAGGUCGCUGGUUCGAUUCCAGUCGGGGGCACCA
Molecule: transfer RNA, 76 nt
Filed under: Microbacterium sp.
Lineage: Bacteria; Bacillati; Actinomycetota; Actinomycetes; Micrococcales; Microbacteriaceae
Also listed under: 4 other names
Description: tRNA-Arg
Rfam family: tRNA
About the family: Transfer RNA (tRNA) molecules are approximately 80 nucleotides in length. Their secondary structure includes four short double-helical elements and three loops (D, anti-codon, and T loops).
Source: RNAcentral